UUGUUGGAAAAAAUUAAAGAGUUAUAUACUACAAGAAUAAAACUUGUGAUGAAUUUGACUUAAAUUUGACCUUAAAAAUGUAUAAGAGUUAGUCGAUAUCAAUGAUCCUUAGAAGUAUUGUGUCAAAAAGACAGAUGUGCCCUUACCACAUACAAACCCUACACAGACAAAUGAAUCUAGAAUUCACAUGCACUCCAACUGUUUGACUGGUUUUGGUUUACUCAUUCUGUACAUCUGGCAUCAAUUUCCCAUUGACCCCAUCAUGGGCCUAUGACCAUAACCCAUUACAGCUCAUCUCACAUGGCUCUUAUGGGCCCCACCAUUACCACAUACAUAUCUAUGUUUAAAUUUAAUGUACAUGUAUUCUUUUCCCAUGUCUUUCUAUAAUUCUAUAUCAUCAACAAACAAAUAAUUACCAUUUCUUACUACUACAUUUUCUAUGUGUAUAAUAUUACAUGAUACAUGAGACAUGAUACAUGCAUAUGCAUGAUGAUGUUGAUUAUGAUGAUGAUGAUGAUGAUGAUGAU
RNAcentral lists this long non-coding RNA (527 nucleotides) under Lactuca sativa (garden lettuce). RNAcentral's name for it is "long non-coding RNA (LSAT_LNC009465)". Lineage: Eukaryota; Viridiplantae; Streptophyta; Magnoliopsida; Asterales; Asteraceae. The record is from RNAcentral.